GGCGGCUAGGAAGAGCGGCCAAUUAAACCUGUCCGGCCGGGAGUUGACCGAAGUACCUCUACAUGUAUGGCGAAUAAAUUUGGAUACUCCAGAAGAGGCCCACCAAAAUGUAUCUUUCAGUGCUGCCGAUCGCUGGUGGGAGCAAACUGAUCUCAACAAAUUGAUUUUAUCUUCUAACAAACUGCAGUGUCUUUCUGAUGAUGUCAAACUCUUACCUGCUCUCACUGUGCUUGAUGUGCAUGAUAAUCAACUCACGUCUCUCCCUGCUGCUGUAGGAUCACUAGAAAAUCUUCAGAAACUUAAUGUGAGUCAUAAUAAACUGAAAAAGAUACCAGAAGAACUUACUCAGCUAAAACACUUGAAGAGUCUGCUUCUGCAGCACAAUGAAUUGUAUCACUUGCCUGAUGAAUUUGGACAGCUUGUCAGUUUGGAAGAGUUGGAUAUCUCUAAUAACCACAUCUCUGGUAUCCCAACAAGUUUUGCUUUCCUUAUAAACUUGGUGCGUCUCAAUUUAGCUUCUAAUCAAUUAAGGAAUCUACCCACAGAAAUCAGUGCAAU
Long non-coding RNA from Protobothrops mucrosquamatus (brown spotted pit viper), 558 nucleotides. RefSeq lists it as uncharacterized. NCBI's taxonomy places the organism in Eukaryota, Metazoa, Chordata, Lepidosauria, Squamata, Viperidae. The transcript has 5 exons. The record is from RefSeq and is a predicted model, not a curated record.